ACGCGAAAGGGACUUCGGUCCUGAGUAUAGUGGCGCACGGGUGAGUAACGCGUGGAUAAUCUACCUGACGGGCAGGGAUAACACUUCGAAAGGGGUGCUAAUACCUGAUAAGACCACGGAGUCUCUGGGCUCUGCGGUAAAAGGUGGGGACCUUCGGGCCUACCGUCAUCAGAUGAGUCCGCGUACCAUUAGCUAGUUGGUAGGGUAAAGGCCUACCAAGGCGACGAUGGUUAGCUGGUCUGAGAGGAUGAUCAGCCACACUGGAACUGAGACACGGUCCAGACUCCUACGGGAGGCAGCAGUGGGGAAUUUUGCGCAAUGGGGGAAACCCUGACGCAGCAACGCCGCGUGAGUGAUGAAGGCCUUCGGGUCGUAAAGCUCUGUCAGAGGGGAAGAAGUGCAGUGGUGCUAAUAUCAUCAUUGCUUGACGGUACCCUCAAAGGAAGCACCGGCUAACUCCGUGCCAGCAGCCGCGGUAAUACGGAGGGUGCAAGCGUUGUUCGGAAUUAUUGGGCGUAAAGCGCGUGUAGGCGGUCUUUUAAGUCUGAUGUGAAAGCCCCGGGCUCAACCUGGGAAGUGCAUUGGAAACUGGGAGACUUGAAUACGGGAGAGGGUAGUGGAAUUCCU
RNAcentral lists this ribosomal RNA (627 nucleotides) under uncultured Desulfuromonadales bacterium. Its description in RNAcentral is "bacterial SSU rRNA". It matches the Rfam family "Bacterial small subunit ribosomal RNA", at positions 66 to 671 of the family's 1533-position model. The record is from RNAcentral. Lineage: Bacteria; Pseudomonadati; Thermodesulfobacteriota; Desulfuromonadia; Desulfuromonadales.